This 533-nucleotide ribosomal RNA is filed under the name uncultured bacterium. Its description in RNAcentral is "bacterial SSU rRNA". It matches the Rfam family "Bacterial small subunit ribosomal RNA", at positions 977 to 1509 of the family's 1533-position model. The record is from RNAcentral.
GGUCCUUGACAUACUAAGAACUUUCCAGAGAUGGAUUGGUGCCUUCGGGAACUUAGAUACAGGUGCUGCAUGGCUGUCGUCAGCUCGUGUCGUGAGAUGUUGGGUUAAGUCCCGCAACGAGCGCAACCCUUUUCUUAUUUGCCAGCGGGUCAUGCCGGGAACUUUAAGGAUACUGCCAGUGACAAACUGGAGGAAGGCGGGGACGACGUCAAGUCAUCAUGGCCCUUACGGCCAGGGCUACACACGUGCUACAAUGGUCGGUACAAAGGGUUGCUACCUCGCGAGAGGAUGCUAAUCUCAAAAAGCCGAUCGUAGUCCGGAUCGCAGUCUGCAACUCGACUGCGUGAAGUCGGAAUCGCUAGUAAUCGCGGAUCAGAAUGCCGCGGUGAAUACGUUCCCGGGCCUUGUACACACCGCCCGUCACACCAUGGGAGUUUGUUGCACCAGAAGUAGGUAGUCUAACCGCAAGGAGGACGCUUACCACGGUGUGGCCGAUGACUGGGGUGAAGUCGUAACAAGGUAAGCGUAGAUGA